UGGUACCGUCAUCACCACUCGUAUUAGAAGUGGCGAUUUCUUUCCACCUGAAAGCGGUUUACAACCCGAAGGCCUUCUUCCCGCACGCGGCAUGGCUGGAUCAGGCUUUCGCCCAUUGUCCAAAAUUCCCCACUGCUGCCUCCCGUAGGA
Molecule: ribosomal RNA, 150 nt
Filed under: uncultured bacterium
Lineage: Bacteria
Description: partial 16S ribosomal RNA
Source: RNAcentral